CCUACGGGGGGCUGCAGUGGGGAAUAUUGGACAAUGGGGGCAACCCUGAUCCAGCCAUGCCGCGUGUGUGAAGAAGGCCCUCGGGUUGUAAAGCACUUUCAGUGAGGAAGAACGCCUGGUGGUUAAUACCCAUCAGGAAAGACAUCACUCACAGAAGAAGCACCGGCUAACUCCGUGCCAGCAGCCGCGGUAAUACGGAGGGUGCGAGCGUUAAUCGGAAUUACUGGGCGUAAAGCGCGCGUAGGUGGCUUGAUAAGCCGGUUGUGAAAGCCCCGGGCUCAACCUGGGAACGGCAUCCGGAACUGUCAAGCUAGAGUGCAGGAGAGGAAGGUAGAAUUCCCGGUGUAGCGGUGAAAUUCGUAGAGAUCGGGAGGAAUACCAGUGGCGAAGGCGGCCUUCUGGACUGACACUGACACUGAGGUGCGAAAGCGUGGGUAGCAAACAGGAUUAGAUACCCUAGUAGUC
Molecule: ribosomal RNA, 465 nt
Filed under: Vreelandella stevensii
Lineage: Bacteria; Pseudomonadati; Pseudomonadota; Gammaproteobacteria; Oceanospirillales; Halomonadaceae
Description: partial 16S ribosomal RNA
Rfam family: Bacterial small subunit ribosomal RNA
Source: RNAcentral